GUGGGGAAUAUUGCACAAUGGGCGCAAGCCUGAUGCAGCCAUGCCGCGUGUGUGAAGAAGGCCUUCGGGUUGUAAAGCACUUUCAGCGGGGAGGAAGGCGUUAAGGUUAAUAACCUCAUCGAUUGACGUUACCCGCAGAAGAAGCACCGGCUAACUCCGUGCCAGCAGCCGCGGUAAUACGGAGGGUGCAAGCGUUAAUCGGAAUUACUGGGCGUAAAGCGCACGCAGGCGGUCUGUCAAGUCGGAUGUGAAAUCCCCGGGCUCAACCUGGGAACUGCAUUCGAAACUGGCAGGCUAGAGUCUUGUAGAGGGGGGUAGAAUUCCAGGUGUAGCGGUGAAAUGCGUAGAGAUCUGGAGGAAUACCGGUGGCGAAGGCGACUUCCUGGUCCUAUACUGACGCUGAGACGCGAGAGCGUGGGGAGCAAACAGGAUUAGAUACCCCUGUAGUCC
This 450-nucleotide ribosomal RNA is filed under the name uncultured bacterium. Its description in RNAcentral is "partial 16S ribosomal RNA". It matches the Rfam family "Bacterial small subunit ribosomal RNA", at positions 354 to 796 of the family's 1533-position model. The record is from RNAcentral.